GUCACACAUAGUUUUAGGUAUCCCUUGAGAGCAUUACUGUCUGUGUGUAUUCCUUUACCAGUUAGGAGAAUCCCCAUUCUGUUAAAGAUCCACUAAUAAUUUGUGUUCUCGUCUACAAAUUGGGUUCAUGCCUGGGAUAGCCUGGUAUUGUCCACACUGAUGCCAUCUCAUUGAGAGGGGAUAUUUCUUUUGUCAAGGAUUUUUUCCAUUUUGUUUUACUCAUUAUCAUGUCACUGUAGCAAUGUGUCUGCUGUCAUUGUG
This is a non-coding RNA of Pelobates cultripes (western spadefoot toad), 261 nucleotides long. The record is from the annotation of a GenBank genome assembly. Lineage: Eukaryota; Metazoa; Chordata; Amphibia; Anura; Pelobatidae.